This 254-nucleotide long non-coding RNA is filed under the name Elaeis guineensis (African oil palm). RNAcentral's name for it is "long non-coding RNA (EGUI_LNC042629)". The record is from RNAcentral. Lineage: Eukaryota; Viridiplantae; Streptophyta; Magnoliopsida; Arecales; Arecaceae.
GUUAUACGAUGCUUGCAAGCAGUAUCGUAUACUUUAUAGUUUGUCUAUCCAUUGCUGUUUCUAUGAGUACGCACAUAGCCUACCCAUUUACUGCUUCUAUGUGUACGCACAUAGCUCUUACUGCUAUUAUCAUACUGCUGUGACAAUAUACCUCUGUGGCUCCGACCCACUCACACUCACACACUACUGCUUUCAUGCGUAAGCAUGUUGGCCUGGGUCAAUUGGUAUCAGAGCCAUUUUUCAUAUCGGGGAGG